GUACCACUGGUCUCUAUUGUCUCUCCCGGUCGGCUUGCAUCUUUAAGUACACCAUAUUGAGGUGCUAAAAGCAUGACCUUCCUGCUAUUAGCUUUGUCUGCUUGGGCUUAGAGUGGAGAGCAGGAGCCUAAACUUAGCGAGAUAUCUCCUUUGCAUUUCCAAAAUUGGAGCACUUUGUUUACUAUACUGGGACGACUUAAAAGAAACAAGCAGGACAUGUGGAGUGUUGUUUCCUUUCCUCAAUUACCAGCAGAUCACAGGUGUUUAUCUGGCUCCCGGAGGUGAUUCAGGCCCUUGAAGACAGUUUAUGGGACCCUGCCCAGUAGGUGAACUAGAGAGAUAUGCACAUUGGAUGAAGUUCGAUCACUGGAAAAGAGCUACAAUGGUACCUGAGGAACAUCUAGGUGGUAGGACGAGGGUUUGGGGAGAGACCUUGGACCUGGCUGGGAAUAAUUAGAGAAGAUCCCAGAGAGCAGCUUCAGCCCUAGGGACGUCGGAUUCACAAGGAAAAGAUCCUGGCACAAUACCUGGUCAGGAGGAGACUGAGACUUUUCUAGGGUACUGAUGGGUCAGGUUCUAUAACUGUGUAGGAUGAAAGAAGAGGACAAGGUAGCUUCCUAUUUUUGCUAAUUAUUCUUGCUCACUGGAUACAAAGUUUCUGUCGCCCACUGUUUAGUUGUUUCAGUCAUGUUCCAUUCUUCAGGACCUCAUUUGGAGUUUUCUUGGGGAAGAAACUACAGGGUAAUUUUCUUCCCCACUUUAUCUUACAGAUGAGGACAUGGCAGCAAACAGGGUGAAGUGACUUGCCCAGGGUCACAAAGCUAGUAAGUCUCCAAGAUUUGAACUGAGGAAGAGGAGUCUUCCUGACUCCAAGUCCACAUCUCUAUCUGCUGCACAACCUAAAUGUCUAAAACAAUAUAAGAAGUUGAGAAGAAAAAAGAGAGAAAACAUGUACAUCUAUAGGUAGAUAUGAAAUAAAUACAAGGUAAUGUCAGUCA
This 998-nucleotide long non-coding RNA is filed under the name Monodelphis domestica (gray short-tailed opossum). RNAcentral's name for it is "lncRNA (ENSMODG00000030007.2)". The record is from RNAcentral. Lineage: Eukaryota; Metazoa; Chordata; Mammalia; Didelphimorphia; Didelphidae.